GUCUGUGUGAGCUGUAAUACACAGUCUGGCCUGCCCCCUGAAUUUUAAAGGGCCGCGGUAUUUGAACCGUGCUAAGGUAGCAUAAUAAAUAGUCUUUUAAUUGAGGUCUAGUAUGAAUGGUCGGACAGGAAGUAAGCUGUCUUGAUUAUAAAAUUUGAAUUUUACUUUUAAGUGAAAAGGCUUAAAUUGUGUGGUGGGACGAUAAGACCCUAUAAAGCUUUACAUUUUGUUUGUAAGUUGAAAAAAUUAUGGUUUUUUGUUCUUAUUAUAUAAAGUGUUUCGUUGGGGCGACGAGAAUAUAAAAUAGUAACUGUUUUUGUAUAAAAAUAUGAUUUUAUAGGAGAGUUGAUCCUUUAUAGAGAUUAUGAGAAUUAAGUUACUUUAGGGAUAACAGCGUAAUUUUUUUUGAGAGUUCAUAUCGACAAGAAUAGUUGCGACCUCGAUGUUGAAUUAAGAUUUCUCCAAGGUGUAGCAGUUUUGGGGGAGGUCUGUUCGACCUUUAAAAUCUU
Molecule: ribosomal RNA, 509 nt
Filed under: Caridina confusa
Lineage: Eukaryota; Metazoa; Arthropoda; Malacostraca; Decapoda; Atyidae
Description: partial 16S ribosomal RNA
Rfam family: Bacterial large subunit ribosomal RNA
Source: RNAcentral